CAGUCAGUGGCUGGGACAGGAAUAUAUGCCCAAGAGCCACCAUGAACUCCCAGGGGUCUCCAGGCAGGGGCCCUCCAUCCCGUGAGUAGGGUGGGGGAGGAUGGUGGGGUUGCCACAGUCGGGGAACCAAGGGCCUGCCUCUGGGGGCCCUGAAAGCUGCCUGCGGGACCUGGGAUCUGGAGAGCUGCCCGCUGGCCCUGAGGAUGGGCACCCAUCCAAUCUUGGCUUGGGAAGGGGGCUGCAGAGGGGCGGGUGAGGGGUGGCAGGGAUGCAGCCCCACCCUGGCCAGUGCCUCAUCUCCUGCCUCCGCACAGGCACCAAGUCUUUCAACAUGAUGUUCCCGAUGGGCGACAACUCGGAGCUACUGGCUGAGAUUAAGGCAGGCAAGAGCAUGAAGCCGAUGCCGCAGAGCAAGGGGCUGACCACAGUGUUCUCAGGCAGCGGGCAGCCGGCCUUCCAGGUAGGCGGGCCCAGCAGGAGCCUGCGACCCGGCUUCCCCGGCCCUAGGCCACCAGGCGCUCAGCCCCACCGCUUUUCCCUGCAGCCCAAUUUGCCGCUGCCGUCUGUGUCACCUGCACCGUCACCAGUCCGGAGCCCCACACCGCCAGCUGCGGGGUUUCAGCCGCUGCUCAACGGAAGCUUGGUUCCGGUGCCGCCCACUACUCCUGAGCUGGGGGUGCAGCUGGACGUGGAGGCGCUUAUCCCCACGCACGAUGAGCAGGGCCGUCCCAAGCCCGAGUGGAAGCGCCAGGAGGAGGCCCGGCUGGCCAGCAUGCCCGCCUGGAGGCGGGUCCUCCUGCGGAAGAAGCUGGAAGAAGAGAGGUGAGCCGGCGGUCAGGCAGAGGCUGGCCUGGCAGCGUGUCUUGACUGCGCCCCUGAGGUGGAGGUACCAAGUGACACUGUUUCUCCUUCUAGGAAGCAGAAGCGGUGAGUGCAGGGCUGGCCCCAACCUGCCACCCUUACCCCCACCCAAGUCGCAGAGGGUCGUCCCUUCAUCCAGGCCAACUUGAGUGCAUCCUCCUGUCUCUUGGCCCUUGUAGCACAGUCUCCUUCCUCCCUAUAAUAUCCCAGACGGCUGACCCCCAGAAUCUCUCUCUCAUGCUCUGAUAACUUUGUUCCCGGUUUCUCAGUCCCUGCCUCCUAUUAACCUGGCCUUUUCUACCCUUCAGUUAACCUAACCCCAGUAUCAAUCACCUUGAUUGUCUGGCCCUCAGAAUGUACUUUCUGCCCCUAGUAAUCUCACCCAGCCCAGUGCUGUCCAAUAGAAAUAUAAUGAGAGCCACAGAUGUAAUUUAAAAUUUUCUAGUAGCCACAGUGAAAAUGUAGAAGGAUAUAGGUGAGCUUAAUUUUAGUACUGUUUUAUUUGACACAAAAUAUCAAAAAUAUUAUUUUGACACAUAAUCAAUUAUGAAAAUUACUAAUGAGAUGUUUUCUACUCCUCCUGUAAAAGUAAGUCUUUGGCCAGGCAUGGUGGCUUACACAUGUAAUCCCAGCACUUUGAGAGGCCAAGGCAGGGGGACCACUUGAGUCCAGAAGUUUGAGACCAGCCUGGGCAAUGCAGUGAGACCUCAUUCUGAAAAAAAAAAAAAUUUUUUUUCUUUUUUUGAGAUGGGGUUUCACUCUUGUCACCCAGUCUGGAGUGCAGUGGCGAUCUGGGCUCAUGCAACCUCUGCCUCCUGGGUUCAAGUGAUUCUCCUGCCUCAGCCUCCCAAGUAGCUGGGAUUACAAGCAUGUGCCACUGCACCCAGCUAAUUUUGUAUUUUUAGUAGAGAUGGGUUUCACCAUGUUGGCCAAACUGGUCUCAAACUCCUGACCUCAAGUGAUCCACCCGCCUCGGCCUCCCAAAGUUGUGGGAUUAUAGGCAUGAGCCAUCAAGCCUGGUCCU
Molecule: long non-coding RNA, 1885 nt
Organism: Pan paniscus (pygmy chimpanzee)
Lineage: Eukaryota; Metazoa; Chordata; Mammalia; Primates; Hominidae
Source: Ensembl